Molecule: ribosomal RNA, 469 nt
Filed under: uncultured bacterium
Lineage: Bacteria
Description: partial 16S ribosomal RNA
Rfam family: Bacterial small subunit ribosomal RNA
Source: RNAcentral
ACGCACGCUGGCGGCGUGCUUCACCCCUGCAAGUCGAACGGUGAACGAGGGAGCUUGCUCCCUCCGGAUCAGUGGCGAACGGGUGAGUAACACGUGAGCAAUCUGCCCCGAACUCUGGGAUAAGCGUUGGAAACGACGUCUAAUACCGGAUACGACGCGGGAGGGCAUCCUCUCCGCGUGGAAAGAACUUCGGUUCGGGAUGAGCUCGCGGCCUAUCAGCUUGUUGGUGAGGUAACGGCUCACCAAGGCGACGACGGGUAGCCGGCCUGAGAGGGUGACCGGCCACACUGGGACUGAGACACGGCCCAGACUCCUACGGGAGGCAGCAGUGGGGAAUAUUGCACAAUGGGCGCAAGCCUGAUGCAGCAACGCCGCGUGAGGGACGACGGCCUUCGGGUUGUAAACCUCUUUUAGCAGGGAAGAAGCGAAAGUGACGGUACCUGCAGAAAAAGCACCGGCUAACUACGUG